RNAcentral lists this ribosomal RNA (460 nucleotides) under uncultured bacterium. RNAcentral describes it as "partial 16S ribosomal RNA". It matches the Rfam family "Bacterial small subunit ribosomal RNA", at positions 30 to 507 of the family's 1533-position model. The record is from RNAcentral.
CGACCGCUGGCGGCGUGCUUAACACAUGCAAGUCGAGCGGUAAGGCCUUUCGGGGUACCCGCGCGGCGAACGGGUGUGUAACACGUGGGUGAUCUGCCCUGCACUUCGGGAUAAGCCUGGGAAACUGGGUCUAAUACCGGAUAUGACCUCCUAUCGCAUGGUGGGUGGUGGAAAGAUUUAUCGGUGCAGGAUGGGCCCGCGGCCUAUCAGCUUGUUGGUGGGGUAAUGGCCUACCAAGGCGACGACGGGUAGCCGACCUGAGAGGGUGACCGGCCACACUGGGACUGAGACACGGCCCAGACUCCUACGGGAGGCAGCAGUGGGGAAUAUUGCACAAUGGGCGAAAGCCUGAUGCAGCGACGCCGCGUGAGGGAUGACGGCCUUCGGGUUGUAAACCUCUUUCAGCAGGGACGAAGCGCAAGUGACGGUACCUGCAGAAGAAGCACCGGCUAACUACGUG